RNAcentral lists this ribosomal RNA (407 nucleotides) under Verrucomicrobiota bacterium. RNAcentral's name for it is "Verrucomicrobia bacterium partial 16S ribosomal RNA". It matches the Rfam family "Bacterial small subunit ribosomal RNA", at positions 355 to 776 of the family's 1533-position model. The record is from RNAcentral. Lineage: Bacteria; Pseudomonadati; Verrucomicrobiota.
UAGGGAAUCUUCCGCAAUGGACGAAAGUCUGACGGAGCAACGCCGCGUGAGUGAAGAAGGAUUUCGGUUCGUAAAACUCUGUUGUUAGGGAAGAAACAAAUGACGGUACCUGAAAAACAAGCCACGGCUAACUACGUGCCAGCAGCCGCGGUAAUACGUAGGUGGCGAGCGUUAUCCGGAUUUACUGGGUGUAAAGGGCGUGCAGGCGGGCUGAUAAGUCAGAUGUGAAAUCCCCGAGCUUAACUCGGGAACUGCAUCUGAUACUGUUGGUCUUGAGUGCUGGAGAGGAUAGUGGAAUUCCUAGUGUAGCGGUAAAAUGCGCAGAUAUUAGGAGGAACACCAGUGGCGAAGGCGGCUAUCUGGACAGUAACUGACGCUGAGGCGCGAAAGCGUGGGUAGCAAACAGG